GAUGAACGCUAGCGGCAGGCCUAAUACAUGCAAGUCGGACGGGAUUCAGGAGCUUGCUUCUGAUGAGAGUGGCGCACGGGUGCGUAACACGUAUGUAACCUACCUUUAUCAGGGGGAUAGCCUCUCGAAAGAGAGAUUAAGCCCGCAUAAAAUCACAGCACAGCAUUGUGUAAUGAUCAAAUAUUUAUAGGAUAAAGAUGGGCAUGCGGAACAUUAGCUAGAUGGCGGGGUAACGGCCCACCAUGGCGACGAUGUUUAGGGGAUCUGAGAGGAUGGCCCCCCACACUGGUACUGAGACACGGACCAGACUCCUACGGGAGGCAGCAGUAAGGAAUAUUGGUCAAUGGGCGGAAGCCUGAACCAGCCAUGCCGCGUGCAGGAAGACGGCCCUACGGGUUGUAAACUGCUUUUAUACGGGAAUAAACCUAGAUACGUGUAUCUGGCUGAAUGUACUGUAAGAAUAAGGAUCGGCUAACUCCGUG
Molecule: ribosomal RNA, 482 nt
Filed under: uncultured bacterium
Lineage: Bacteria
Description: partial 16S ribosomal RNA
Rfam family: Bacterial small subunit ribosomal RNA
Source: RNAcentral